This 116-nucleotide ribosomal RNA is filed under the name Candidatus Liptonbacteria bacterium RIFCSPHIGHO2_01_FULL_57_28. The record is from RNAcentral. Lineage: Bacteria; Candidatus Liptoniibacteriota.
GUCGGUGUUUUAUUUGCGCGUGAACCACCUCUUCCCAUUCCGAACAGAGAAGUGCAGCCGCGUAAACCUGAUGAUACUUGCGGCCUCGGCUGCUGGGAAAGUAGGGUAUGCCGACA